UGCUUCUCUGGACAGUGCCCUCC
This 23-nucleotide non-coding RNA is filed under the name Mus musculus (house mouse). Lineage: Eukaryota; Metazoa; Chordata; Mammalia; Rodentia; Muridae. RNAcentral also lists the same sequence under 1 other name. The record is from RNAcentral.